Molecule: ribosomal RNA, 185 nt
Filed under: uncultured Streptococcus sp.
Lineage: Bacteria; Bacillati; Bacillota; Bacilli; Lactobacillales; Streptococcaceae
Description: partial 16S ribosomal RNA
Rfam family: Bacterial small subunit ribosomal RNA
Source: RNAcentral
GCCCUUAUGACCUGGGCUACACACGUGCUACAAUGGUUGGUACAACGAGUUGCGAGUCGGUGACGGCGAGCUAAUCUCUUAAAGCCAAUCUCAGUUCGGAUUGUAGGCUGCAACUCGCCUACAUGAAGUCGGAAUCGCUAGUAAUCGCGGAUCAGCACGCCGCGGUGAAUACGUUCCCGGGCCUU